AAUGAUGAUAAAGGCAAUUCCUGAGCAUAGCCUUGAAUCUUUGUUAAGCUUAGUAAAGAUUCUCUCCAUCUUUCUGCCUGAAACUCAGAAUCUCACUUCUAAAAUU
Non-coding RNA from Capsicum annuum, 106 nucleotides. Lineage: Eukaryota; Viridiplantae; Streptophyta; Magnoliopsida; Solanales; Solanaceae. The record is from Rfam.